GCCAGGCAUGGUGGCGCACACCUGUAGUCCCAGCUACUCGGGAGGCUGAGACUAGAGGAUCGCUUGAGUCCAGGAGUUCUGGGCUGUAGUGUGCUAUGCCGAUCAGGUGUCCACAUUAAGUUCUGCAUCAAUCUGGUGACCUCCCGGGAGCCAGGAACUACCAGGUUGCCUAAGGAGGGGUGAACCGGGCCAGGUCGGAAAUGGAGCAGGUCAAAACUCCCAUGCUGAUCAGUAGUCUCUCUGCUGUUGGUCCCACCUGUCCUUUUUCCUGUCUAGCUAUUGGAUCUUCAGCUCCUU
Mesocricetus auratus (golden hamster) is the source of this 297-nucleotide non-coding RNA. NCBI's taxonomy places the organism in Eukaryota, Metazoa, Chordata, Mammalia, Rodentia, Cricetidae. The record is from Rfam.